GGAAGCCUUAGUUUAAUUAAAAUGUCUGAUUUGCAUUCAGGAGAUGUAGAGCGGUUCUAUAGGUUUUA
RNAcentral lists this transfer RNA (68 nucleotides) under Ctenophorus ornatus. RNAcentral describes it as "tRNA-Ala". It matches the Rfam family "tRNA". From Rfam's summary of the family: Transfer RNA (tRNA) molecules are approximately 80 nucleotides in length. Their secondary structure includes four short double-helical elements and three loops (D, anti-codon, and T loops). Lineage: Eukaryota; Metazoa; Chordata; Lepidosauria; Squamata; Agamidae. The record is from RNAcentral.